GAUGAACGCUGGCGGCGUGCCUAAUACAUGCAAGUCGAGCGAAUGGAUUAAGAGCUUGCUCUUAUGAAGUUAGCGGCGGACGGGUGAGUAACACGUGGGUAACCUGCCCAUAAGACUGGGAUAACUCCGGGAAACCGGGGCUAAUACCGGAUAACAUUUUGAACCGCAUGGUUCGAAAUUGAAAGGCGGCUUCGGCUGUCCCUUAUGGAUGGACACGCGUCGCAUUAGCUAGUUGGGGAGGUAACGGCUAACCAAGGCAGCGAUGCGUAGCCGACCUGAGAGGGUGAUCGGCCACACUGGGACUGAGACACGGCCCAGACUCCUACGGGAGGCAGCAGUAGGGAAUCUUCCGCAAUGGACGAAAGUCUGACGGAGCAACGCCGCGUGAGUGAUGAAGGCUUUCGGGUCGUAAAACUCUGUUGUUAGGGAAGAACAAGUGCUAGUUGAAUAAGCUGGCACCUUGACGGUACCUAACCAGAAAGCCACGGCUAACUACGUGCCAGCCGCCGCGGUAA
RNAcentral lists this ribosomal RNA (515 nucleotides) under uncultured bacterium. RNAcentral's name for it is "partial 16S ribosomal RNA". It matches the Rfam family "Bacterial small subunit ribosomal RNA", at positions 28 to 523 of the family's 1533-position model. The record is from RNAcentral.